This 406-nucleotide ribosomal RNA is filed under the name uncultured bacterium. Its description in RNAcentral is "partial 16S ribosomal RNA". It matches the Rfam family "Bacterial small subunit ribosomal RNA", at positions 29 to 526 of the family's 1533-position model. The record is from RNAcentral.
AUUGAACGCUGGCGGCAGGCCUAACACAUGCAAGUCGAGCGAGCGGCGGACGGGUGAGUAAUGUCUGGGAAACUGCCUGAUGGAGGGGGAUAACUACUGGAAACGGUAGCCAAUACCGCAUACCAUCAGAUGUGCCCAGGUGGGAUUAGCGAGUAGGUGGGGUAACGGCUCACCUAGGCGACGAUCCCCAGCUGGUCUGAGAGGAUGACCAGCCACAAUGGAACUGGGACACGGUCCAGACUCCUACGGGAGGCAGCAGUGGGGAAGAUUGCACAAUGGGCGCAAGACUGAUGCAGCCAUGCCGCGUGUGUGAAGAAGGCCUUCGGGUUGUAAAGCACUUUCAGCGGGGAGGCGUUACCCGCAGAAGAAGCACCGGCUAACUCCGUGCCAGCCGCCGCGGUAAUAC